CAGCAAUGAAGGCACAGGGGAGGUAACCAAGGGGUACUGUUAGAUACCCAAAGAAGGAACCAUUAAGGAAACACUAAUAGACCAGCUGACAUUCUUCCUUUGUGUCCUACUCAAGAAAUAUCAGCUCUUAAAGAAACUGCUAAUAGUUAAGUCAUGGUUUUUAGUCUAAAAUCCUGACUCAGAAAUGUUACACAAUCUUCAUGGGAAUCUAGGAAAAUAUGAUGAUUUAUCUAAGAAACUAAGGUGGCACAAAGAAGAAACCCAGGAAAAAAUAUAGAAAAAAACUGAUUAUAAAAUGAAUCUAGAAAAACAAAGGACCUAGAAUGGCCAAAACAACUUUGAAAAAGAAGAAUGAAGUUGGAGGGCUUAAUACUCGGAUUUUAAGACUUAUUACAAAGCUUCUUUAUCACGACCGUGUGGUAUGAGCAACAAGAAAAGACAACCGGAUCAAUUGAAAAAAAUAGAGAAUCCAUUCAAUCGACUCUCAUUAUGUAUGCACAACGUAUUUAUAGAAGUGGUACAAAGGAGAUUUAGCAGAAACAAGAUAGCCUGAAAUUUUCAGACAUUACUGGUGGGAAUAUAAAAUGGCAAAUGUACUUUGGAAAAUGACUUACAAUUUCUUAAAAAUUAAUAUACACCUAUAUAUAACCCUGCCAUUUCAUCUAUACAUAUUCACCCAAGAAAAAUGACAGCUUAUGUCCAUACAAAGACUUGUACAUAGGUGCUCACAGCAACUUUAUUUGUAAUAGCCCCAAACUGGAAACAGCCAAAAUGUCUAUCAAUAGGUUAACAAACAGACAAAUUGUGGCAAAUCCAUACUCGGCAAUUUUUAAAAAUGAGCUCUUUACAUACUCAACAACAUAUAUAAACAUGCUGAAUGAAAGAAGCCAGUCAGGCUGGGCAUGGUGGUUCAUGCCUUUAAUCCCAUCACUUUGGGAGGCCAAGGCAGGUGGAUUGCUUAAGCCCAGAGUUUGAGAUCAGCCUGGGCAACAUGGCGAAACGGUCUCUACAAACAACAACAAAUAAACAGCAAAAAAUUAGCCAGACAUUGUAGUGCAUGCCUGUUGUCCCAGCUACUUGGGAGGCUGAGGCAGGAGGAUGUGUUGAACCUGGGAGGUCAAGGCUGCAGUGGGCUGUGAUCGUGCCACUGCAUUCCAACCUAGGUAACAGAGUGAGACCCUAUCUCAGAAAGAAGCCAGACAAAAAACAGUUUAUGCUUUCAUUUACGUAAGAUUUCUAAAAUGCAAACUAAUCUGUAGUGACAAAAAACAGAUCAGUGCUUGCCUGGCGAUGAAGAUGAGGGUAGUAGUGCAGGAGGGAGGGAUUUACAAAACAGGCAUAAGAAAAAUUUUGGGUGAUAAAUACGAUUAUAGUUAUCGUUUAUAUAGAGCAUGUUCCUGUUAAAAGUGAUCAAAUAUUUUAUGUGUACAUUAACCUUACAUCAACUAUACCUCAAUAGAAAUACUGAAGUGUUCUGGGUGGUUUCUGAAGUACCUAAAAUAUUAGCAUUUCCAUAUAUCUAUUACACAACUAUCAAAAUACGAUAAUGUAUGUUUACUGACAUAAAAACAUUUCUAUGACAUACUGUUUUUACAAGGCUUUAAAAUUAUAUAUAGUUAUUUUUCCGUUUACAAAGGUAAAUAUAUAAUCUGUACAUCUAAGUAGUGGGAUUCCAAGGGCUUUUUUUCUUCCUCCUAAUUUCUGUUGCCUUUUAUCUUUUACUUUUUGUUUUUAAUGACAAAUGUGUCCACUUAAACAAAGGUAAUAUUCCUCUCUCCCAACUAGCCAUUUCUACUUGCCUGAGGUGAACCUUGCCUCAGCACUCUGUGUCUGAUAUAUAGUCUUCUACACCAUCAUGGCUCAUACAAAUAAUCACAACCCUAUAUACAAGUUUAUUAUUUAUUUUUUAGACAGGGUAUCUCUCUGUGGCUCAGGCUGGAGUGCACUGGCGCAGUCACGGCUCACUACACUCUUGAAUUACCGGGUUCAAGCAGUCCUCCUGCUUUGGCCUCUUGAGUAGCUGGGACCACAGUCACGCACCAGCACACUUUGCUAAUUUUUGUUUUUUUGUACAGAUGGGUCUCCCUAUGUUGCCUAGGCUGGUCUCGAACUCCUGGCCUCAAGCAAUCCUUCCGUCAUAGCCUCCCAAAGUGCUGGAAUUACAGGCAUGAGCCACAGCACCUAGCCACAAGUUUAUCUUAAACAGAAAAAUGGGGUCAUAACUAUAUGAGUUAUUCUUCAACAUGCUUUAUUUUCACUUAAAAUCCCUCCUAGCAUGUAGUCAUUAUGCAAAUACUAGUAUGCAACAUUUCUUUUGAAAAAUCUUACGUUUUUGCUAUUUUUCUUACCACGAAAACUUUUAAAUAUAUCCUCCUAGUA
Molecule: long non-coding RNA, 2379 nt
Filed under: Homo sapiens (human)
Lineage: Eukaryota; Metazoa; Chordata; Mammalia; Primates; Hominidae
Description: HSALNT0290651
Source: RNAcentral